Molecule: ribosomal RNA, 1349 nt
Filed under: Clostridiales bacterium DJF_RP51
Lineage: Bacteria; Bacillati; Bacillota; Clostridia; Eubacteriales
Description: bacterial SSU rRNA
Rfam family: Bacterial small subunit ribosomal RNA
Source: RNAcentral
AGAGUUUGAUCAUGGCUCAGGAUGAACGCUGGCGGCGUGCUUAACACAUGCAAGUCGAGCGAAGCAAUUUAGCGGAAAGUUUUCGGAUGGAAGUUAGAUUGACUGAGUGGCGGACGGGUGAGUAACGCGUGGGUAACCUGCCUCACACUGGGGGACAACAGUUAGAAAUGUCUGCUAAUACCGCAUAAGCGCACAGGACCGCAUGGUCCGGUGUGAAAAACUCCGGUGGUGUGAGAUGGACCCGCGUUUGAUUAGCUAGUUGGUGGGGUAACGGCCUACCAAGGCNACGAUCAAUAGCCGACCUGAGAGGGUGACCGGCCACAUUGGGACUGAGACACGGCCCAAACUCCUACGGGAGGCAGCAGUGGGGAAUAUUGCACAAUGGGGGAAACCCUGAUGCAGCGACGCCGCGUGAGUGAAGAAGUAUUUCGGUAUGUAAAGCUCUAUCAGCAGGGAAGAAAAUGNCGGUACCUGAAAAAAGCCCCGGCUAACUACGGCCAGCAGCCGCGGUAAUACGUAGGGGCAAGCGUUAUCCGGAUUUACUGGGUGUAAAGGAAGCGUANACGGUAAAGCAAGUNUGAAGUGAAAGCCCGGGGCUCAACCCCGGGCUGCUUUGGAAACUUGUUUAACUAGAGUGCUGGAGAGGUAAGCGGAAUUCCUAGUGUAGCGGUGAAAUGCGUAGAUAUUAGGAGGAACACCAGUGGCGAAGGCGGCUUACUGGACAGUAACUGACGUUGAGGCUCGAAAGCGUGGGGAGCAAACAGGAUUAGAUACCCUGGUAGUCCACGCCGUAAACNAUGAAUACUAGGUGUUGGGGGACAAAGUCCUUCGGUGCCGUCGCAAACGCAAUAAGUAUUCCACCUGGGGAGUACGUUCGCAAGAAUGAAACUCAAAGGAAUUGACGGGGACCCGCACAAACGGUGGAGCAUGUGGUUUAAUUCGAAGCAACGCGAAGAACCUUACCAAAUCUUGACAUCCCUCUGACCGGCGAGUAAUGUCGCCUUUCCUUCAGGGACAGAGGAGACAGGUGGUGCAUGGUUGCCCGNCAGCUCGNGUCGNGAGAUGUUGGGUUAAGUCCCGCAACGAGCGCAACCCUUAUCCUAAGUAGCCAGCAGUUCGGCUGGGCACUCUUGGGAGACUGCCAGGGAUAACCUGGAGGAAGGUGGGGAUGACGUCAAAUCAUCAUGCCCCUUAUGAUUNGGGCUACACACGUGCUACAAUGGCGUAAACAAAGAGAAGCGAGACCGCGAGGUGGAGCAAAUCUCAAAAAUAACCGUCUCAGUUCGGACUGCAGGCUGCAACUCGCCUGCACGAAGCUGGAAUCGCUAGUAAUCGCGAAUCACAAUGGC